UACGGAGGGUGCAAGCGUUAUCCGGAUUUACUGGGUUUAAAGGGUGCGCAGGCGGAUAUGUAAGUCAGUGGUGAAAUCUCUAGGCUUAACCUGGAAAUUGCCGUUGAUACUAUAUAUCUUGAAUGCUGUGGAGGUAAGCGGAAUAUGUCAUGUAGCGGUGAAAUGCUUAGAUAUGACAUAGAACACCUAUUGCGAAGGCAGCUUACUACGCAAAUAUUGACGCUCAUGCACGAAAGCGUGGGGAUCAAACAGG
Molecule: ribosomal RNA, 253 nt
Filed under: uncultured bacterium
Lineage: Bacteria
Description: partial 16S ribosomal RNA
Rfam family: Bacterial small subunit ribosomal RNA
Source: RNAcentral